Molecule: long non-coding RNA, 1514 nt
Organism: Siniperca chuatsi (mandarin fish)
Lineage: Eukaryota; Metazoa; Chordata; Actinopteri; Centrarchiformes; Sinipercidae
Exons: 4
Source: RefSeq, a predicted model, not a curated record
GCCUUCCUUAUGGCUAGCGUACAGUCUCAGGGUGCUGGAUUUGGAAUGGAACCCUCCAUGCAUGGGUCCGACAGUCAGAGGCCCUCCAGCUCUUUUUAUUCAAGUCUCCUGUGGGUCAGCCAGUGGAGGGAGGGCGUUCGGCCGCCAUUGAUUUCCCCUCUCCAAUGCACCGGUUUUGAAGAUCAAUGCAACAUGAAGGAUGCAGCAGGACCAACCGCAGACAAAAGGCAGGCAGCACAACACAACCCACACAGCACUGGACACCAGGGAAAGCUGAUAUAAUAUGCUGGGAGGGUGGUGGGCUACGUUAAGCGCCAUUGUGUUGCCUUGGCCGAGGACUGCAGGAAGUUGUGUUUGGCACAAGGCCCAGAAGCAAGGUGAGGACAAACACUCCCAACAAACACACACUGACAUCCACAAAUCUACAGACGCAUAUCUGCUACAUAGUACACAUUGGUAGUGUGUAUGUGUGGGUGGGUAGUGGGGAUAAGUGUUGUGGACGCAUUUGAGCAACGUGUUUGAGUGUGUGUGCACACGUAUGAGCAAGUCCACCUUUCAUCUGUGCUGAGAUUUGGAAAAGCUUCACUUUGCACAGGCUCCUUAAUUCUCCCUUAAUUCAUUUGUGCUCCAGAUUCACUUGGCUGCUGGGAUAACCUGGGAAUGAUAAUGAAGUGGAGGGGGAAAGAAAGAGAUAGAAAGAGGCAAGAGAGAGAGAGAGAGAGAGAGAGAGAGAGAGAGAGAGAGAGAGGGAGGGAGGGACAUGAAAACAUCACAGCACAUGGCUCCUUCUCCUAUCUCCCCUUUGAAUGUGUUCGGAAUGGAUUUAGGGCUUUUCACUGAGUCUUUUAAGAGAAGAUGGAUCUUAUUAGUGCUGAUUGCUAGUCAUAGGACGUUUUCUGCCUCGGGAACCCACCUUUCUUAACCCUUUCACAGAUGAACAGGGACUGUAGCAUUACUAGGGUUGGGGUUUGAUAGCAUUUUAUCAAAUAUGAAUCCAGUAUUGACUCCACUAAUCAAAUUUGAGUCCUUUCAAAUGCCUUAUCCAAUCUACUGUAUUUAGGCUCAACCCUGUUCCCAGAAGAUUGGAAGAUUCUGAAAAACCCCGGAUUAUGUUCAGUGACAACAAUUUUGCAAUUCCCACUUUCUACAAUAACAGUGCAUGGCAAGUGUGGUAUGGUUAAGGUUAUUUCAAAUGUAUUGGAUAAUAAAUCCGACUGUGGGCGUUGCCAUAGCCAAGGUCCAAGUGCCACACCCCAUGCACUAUAAUUAUAAACAAAACAAAACAAAAUAACACAGACAUAUCUUAAUUUUACAAAGACAGACGUAUUGCAUCCAUCAAGUGUAAUAAAUCAGAGGAAACAUGACAAGUUCAGUUCUUCAUUUAGGCCAAAAGGCUCAACUGUGUAAAGAAUGUGGAUAUAAUAAUUCUCUUCUCUCUCCUUCUGUCGCUUUCAGCAGGUAUUUCUGCCUCCGGUGCUGCAGAGUCUGGAUCUGUGGUUGUGGGCCACCUGCUG